ACAAUAUUCUAGAGUACUUA
This 20-nucleotide small nuclear RNA is filed under the name Arabidopsis thaliana (thale cress). Its description in RNAcentral is "snRNA_12920". Lineage: Eukaryota; Viridiplantae; Streptophyta; Magnoliopsida; Brassicales; Brassicaceae. The record is from RNAcentral.